AUAUACGACCGUACCGCAAACCGACACUGGUGCGCGAGAUGAGUAUUCUAAGGCGCUUGAGAGAACUCAGGAGAAGGAACUCGGCAAAUAGACACCGUAACUUCGGAAGAAGGUGUGCCCUAUUAGUGUGUAGUGAACAACGAAGCAUGAAUGGGUUGCAAAAAAUCGGUGGCUGCGACUGUUUAUUAAAAACACAGCACUCUGCAAACACGAAAGUGGACGUAUAGGGUGUGACGCCUGCCCGGUGCUGGAAGAUUAAAUGAUGGGGUGCAAGCUCUUGAUUGAAGUCCCAGUAAACGGCGGCCGUAACAAUAACGGUCCUAAGGUAGCGAAAUUCCUUGUCGGGUAAGUUCCGACCUGCACGAAUGGCGUAACGAUGCCACACUGUCUCCUCCUGAGACUCAGCGAAGUUGAAAUGUUUGUGAUGAUGCAAUCUCCCCGCGGAAAGACGGAAAGACCCCACGAACCUUUACUGUAGCUUUGUAUUGGACUUUGAACAGAUCUGUGUAGGAUAGGUGGGAGGCUUUGAAGCAGGGUCGCUAGAUCUUGUGGAGCCAACGUUGAAAUACCACCCUGGUGUGUUUGAGGUUCUAACCUAGGUCCAUUAUCUGGAUCGGGGACAGUGCAUGGUAGGCAGUUUGACUGGGGCGGUCUCCUCCCAAAGCGUAACGGAGGAGUUCGAAGGUACGCUAGUUACGGUCGGACAUCGUGACGAUAGUGCAAUGGCAUAAGCGUGCUUAACUGCGAGACUGACAAGUCGAGCAGAUGCGAAAGCAGGACAUAGUGAUCCGGUGGUUCUGUAUGGAAGGGCCAUCGCUCAACGGAUAAAAGGUACUCUGGGGAUAACAGGCUGAUACCGCCCAAGAGUUCAUAUCGACGGCGGUGUUUGGCACCUCGAUGUCGGCUCAUCUCAUCCUGGGGCUGUAGCCGGUCCCAAGGGUAUGGCUGUUCGCCAUUUAAAGAGGUACGUGAGCUGGGUUUAAAACGUCGUGAGACAGUUUGGUCCCUAUCUUCCGUGGGCGCUGCAGAUUUGAGGAAGCCUGCUCCUAGUACGAGAGGACCGGAGUGGACACACCUCUGGUGUAUCGGUUGUCACGCCAGUGGCAUUGCCGAGUAGCUAAGUGUGGAAGAGAUAACCGCUGAAAGCAUCUAAGCGGGAAACUCGUUUCAAGAUGAGAUCUGCCGGGGCCUUGAGCCCCCUAAAGAGUCGUUCAAGACCAGGACGUUGAUAGGUCAGGUGUGGAAGU
Molecule: ribosomal RNA, 1247 nt
Filed under: metagenome
Description: bacterial LSU rRNA
Rfam family: Bacterial large subunit ribosomal RNA
Source: RNAcentral